Molecule: small nuclear RNA, 107 nt
Organism: Hippopotamus amphibius kiboko
Lineage: Eukaryota; Metazoa; Chordata; Mammalia; Artiodactyla; Hippopotamidae
Source: RefSeq, a predicted model, not a curated record
GUGCUCACUUUGGCAGCAUGUAUCCUAAAACUGGAAUGAUACAGAGAAGAUUAGCAUGGUCUCUGCACAAGGAUGACAUGCAAAUUCAUGAUGCGUUUCAUAUUUUA